RNAcentral lists this non-coding RNA (29 nucleotides) under Mus musculus (house mouse). The record is from RNAcentral. Lineage: Eukaryota; Metazoa; Chordata; Mammalia; Rodentia; Muridae.
UGACUGUUCUCACUGUUUCCUGCUAUGGU